Molecule: ribosomal RNA, 1327 nt
Filed under: uncultured bacterium
Lineage: Bacteria
Description: partial 16S ribosomal RNA
Rfam family: Bacterial small subunit ribosomal RNA
Source: RNAcentral
GCGCGCGGGUUAAUAUAUUUAAUAUUUUUUUUUUCUUCUCUCUUUUUUUUAUAAGAGGGAGGAAAAAGCCCCGGAAAAAAAAAUUUUUGGGUUUUAAACCCUUUUUAAAAUUUUUCUUUUUAAAAAAACUAUUUUUUUUUAUGAUUUAAAGGGUUUUCGGGUUUGAGGAUGAGGUUUUGGUUUUUUUUUAUUUUGUAGGUGGAGGUAAAGGGGUUCCCCUUAGGUUUCGAAAAGGUAGGGGGCCCUAAGAGGGGGGACCCCCCCCCCCUGGUAUUGAGCCACGGACCAAGCUCCUACGGGAGGCAGCAGUAAGAAAUAUUGUUCAAUGGACGAAAGUCUGACCCAGCCAUGCCGCGUGCAGGAUGAAUGCCCUAUGGGUUGUAAACUGCUUUUAUACAGAAAGAAAAACUUUCUCGUGAGAAAGCUUGGCGGUACUGUAAGAAUAAGGAUCGGCUAACUCCGUGCCAGCAGCGCGGGUAAUACGGAGGAUCCAAGCGUUAUCCCGAAAUUAUUGGGUUUAAAGGGUCCGUAGGUGGAUAAUUAAGUCAGAGGUGAAAUCCUGCAGCUUAACUGUAGAAUUGCCUUUGAUACUGGUUAUCUUGAGUUAUUAUGAAGUGAUUAGAAUGUGUAGUGUAGCGGUGAAAUGCAUAGAUAUUACACAGAAUACCAAUUGCGAAGGCAGGUCACUAAUAAUCAACUGACACUGAGGGACGAAAGCGUGGGUAGCGAACAGGAUUAGAUACCCUGGUAGUCCACGCCGUAAACGAUGGUCACUAGCUGUUUAGACUUCGGUCUGAGUGGCUAAGCGAAAGUGAUAAGUGACCCACCUGGGGAGUACGUUCGCAAGAAUGAAACUCAAAGGAAUUGACGGGGGCCCGCACAAGCGGUGGAGCAUGUGGUUUAAUUCGAUGAUACGCGAGGAACCUUACCAGGGCUUAAAUGUUUGGUGACAGAUCUAGAAAUAGGUUUUUCUUCGGACACUAAACAAGGUGCUGCAUGGUUGUCGUCAGCUCGUGCCGUGAGGUGUCAGGUUAAGUCCUAUAACGAGCGCAACCCCUGUUGUUAGUUGCCAGCGAGUAAUGUCGGGAACUCUAACAAGACUGCCAGUGCAAACUGUGAGGAAGGUGGGGAUGACGUCAAAUCAUCACGGCCCUUAUGUCCUGGGCUACACACGUGCUACAAUGGUAGGUACAGAGAGCAGCCAAUGCGCGAGCAUGAGCAAAUCUAUAAAACCUAUCUCCGUUACUAGCGGCGUGUACAAGGCCCGUGAAUGUAUUCUGGAAUCAUCUAGUAAUAUUAUUGAUGCAAGCUGAUCGGGAUAUGCGGG